RNAcentral lists this ribosomal RNA (305 nucleotides) under uncultured bacterium. RNAcentral describes it as "bacterial SSU rRNA". It matches the Rfam family "Bacterial small subunit ribosomal RNA", at positions 335 to 656 of the family's 1533-position model. The record is from RNAcentral.
GGCCCUACGGGGGGCAGCAGUGGGGAAUAUUGCACAAUGGGGGAAACCCUGAUGCAGCAACGCCGCGUGAGUGAAGAAGUAUUUCGGUAUGUAUAGCUCUAUCAGCAGGGAAGAAGAAAGACGGUACCUGACUAAGAAGCCCCGGCUAACUACGUGCCAGCAGCCGCGGGAAUACGUAGGGGGCAAGCGUUAUCCGGAUUUACUGGGGGUAAAGGGAGCGUAGACGGCUGUGCAAGUCUGAAGUGAAAGCCCGUGGCUCAACCGCGGACAUGCUUUGGGAACUGUAUAGCUUGAGUACUGGUGGG